UAGGGAAUCUUCCACAAUGGACGCAAGUCUGAUGGAGCAACGCCGCGUGAGUGAAGAAGGUUUUCGGACCGUAAAGCUCUGUUGUUGGUGAAGAAGGAUAGAGGUAGUAACUGGCCUUUAUUUGACGGUAAUCAACCAGAAAGUCACGGCUAACUACGUGCCAGCAGCCGCGGUAAUACGUAGGUGGCAAGCGUUGUCCGGAUUUAUUGGGCGUAAAGCGAGCGCAGGCGGAAGAGUAAGUCUGAUGUGAAAGCCCUCGGCUUAACCGAGGAAUUGCAUCGGAAACUGUUUUCUUGAGUGCAGAAGAGGAGAGUAGAACUCCAUGUGUAGCGGUGGAAUGCGUAGAUAUAUGGAAGAAUACCAGUGGCGAAGGCGGCUCUCUGGUCUGCAACUGACGCUGAGGCUCGAAAGCAUGGUAGCGAACAGGAUUAGAUACCCUGGUAGUCCAUGCCGUAAACGAUGAGUGCUAAGUGUUGGGAGGCUUCCGCCUCUCAGUGCUGCAGCUAACGCAUUAAGCACUCCGCCUGGGGGAGUACGACCGCAAGGUUGAAAC
This 553-nucleotide ribosomal RNA is filed under the name uncultured bacterium. RNAcentral describes it as "partial 16S ribosomal RNA". It matches the Rfam family "Bacterial small subunit ribosomal RNA", at positions 355 to 900 of the family's 1533-position model. The record is from RNAcentral.